RNAcentral lists this ribosomal RNA (408 nucleotides) under uncultured bacterium. Its description in RNAcentral is "bacterial SSU rRNA". It matches the Rfam family "Bacterial small subunit ribosomal RNA", at positions 355 to 775 of the family's 1533-position model. The record is from RNAcentral.
UGGGGAAUAUUGCACAAUGGGCGCAAGCCUGAUGCAGCGACGCCGCGUGGGGGAUGACGGCCUUCGGGUUGUAAACCCCUUUCAGCACAGACGAAGCGCAAGUGACGGUAUGUGCAGAAGAAGGACCGGCCAACUACGUGCCAGCAGCCGCAGUAAUACGUAGGGUCCGAGCGUUGUCCGGAAUUACUGGGCGUAAAGAGCUCGUAGGUGGUUUGUCACGUUGUUCGUGAAAACCCACAGCUCAACUGUGGGCGUGCGAGCGAUACGGGCAGACUAGAGUACUGCAGGGGAGACUGGAAUUCCUGGUGUAGCGGUGGAAUGCGCAGAUAUCAGGAGGAACACCGGUGGCGAAGGCGGGUCUCUGGGCAGUAACUGACGCUGAGGAGCGAAAGCGUGGGGAGCGAACAG